This 622-nucleotide ribosomal RNA is filed under the name uncultured bacterium. Its description in RNAcentral is "bacterial SSU rRNA". It matches the Rfam family "Bacterial small subunit ribosomal RNA", at positions 110 to 728 of the family's 1533-position model. The record is from RNAcentral.
GCAAUAUUUGGGAAUCUGCCUAUUAGUGGGGGACAACCCGGGGAAACUCGGGCUAAUACCGCAUACGCACUACGGUGGAAAGCUGGGGACCGCAAGGCCUGGCGCUAAUAGAUGAGCCCAAAUCGGAUUAGCUAGUUGGUGAGGUAAUGGCUCACCAAGGCUACGAUCCGUAGCUGGUCUGAGAGGACGACCAGCCACACCGGAACUGAGACACGGUCCGGACUCCUACGGGAGGCAGCAGUGGGGAAUAUUGGACAAUGGGCGAAAGCCUGAUCCAGCGACGCCGCGUGGGUGAAGAAGGCCUGCGGGUUGUAAAGCCCUUUCGGUGGGGAAGAAAAGUCUCGGCUUAAUAAGUCGGGACCUUGACGUAACCCACUAAAGAAGCACCGGCUAACUCUGUGCCAGCAGCCGCGGUAAUACAGAGGGUGCGAGCGUUAAUCGGAAUUACUGGGCGUAAAGCGCGCGUAGGCGGCUUUGCAAGUCGAGUGUGAAAUCCCCAGGCUUAACCUGGGAACUGCAUUCGAGACUGCAUAGCUAGAGUAUGGGAGAGGGAAGUGGAAUUUCAGGUGUAGCGGUGAAAUGCGUAGAUAUCUGAAGGAACAUCAGUGGCGAAAGCGACUUC